This is a long non-coding RNA of Talpa occidentalis (Iberian mole), 525 nucleotides long. RefSeq lists it as uncharacterized. The record is from RefSeq and is a predicted model, not a curated record. Lineage: Eukaryota; Metazoa; Chordata; Mammalia; Eulipotyphla; Talpidae. The transcript has 3 exons.
UGGUGCUGCGCUGGGGCAUCUCGGCAGCUCAGGGAGCAUCUCCUGUUGUGUCUUCUGCUGUCUUCGUGAGUUGGCUCCCGGCCUAUAGUCUGGCUGCCGUGUGCUGCAGGCCCUCAGUGUUUGUGUUGAGGACUUUAAAACACUGGAUACUGCUUCAGGAUGUUAGUGACACAUAAUCCCACAAACAUUGUAUGGGUUUUGCAUGAACUGUGUUUCUGCUUCUCAGGACGAUUCUUCUGGAGCCCAGGAGCCCACGAGGAGGCCUCUGCUUGACCAGAUGGUGGCCUCGAGGGUAAAGGACAGGCAGAGCUAUGCGACUGUCCUCACACAUCCUUGCCCGAAGUCACCAUGCACUACGCACUGCUUGGAGAAUUAAGUCAAAGCUUGGAAAUGAUACCGAAGAUGUGCAGAAACAUCUGGUCCGGGAGACAUCAUGUUUUGUUUUGUUUUAAUUGACUCUGAGGAUCUUUAGGCGAGCCUCAUCACAACCCCAGCUGUCUUACACUUGACUGCCUCUGGUGUUUA